RNAcentral lists this ribosomal RNA (468 nucleotides) under uncultured bacterium. Its description in RNAcentral is "partial 16S ribosomal RNA". It matches the Rfam family "Bacterial small subunit ribosomal RNA", at positions 28 to 523 of the family's 1533-position model. The record is from RNAcentral.
GAUGAACGCUGGCGGCGUGCCUAACACAUGCAAGUCGAGCGAUUCUCUUCGGAGAAGAGCGGCGGACGGGUGAGUAACGCGUGGGUAACCUGCCCUGUACACACGGAUAACAUACCGAAAGGUAUGCUAAUACGGGAUAACAUGAGAGAGUCGCAUGGCUUUCUUAUCAAAGCUCCGGCGGUACAGGAUGGACCCGCGUCUGAUUAGCUAGUUGGUGAGGUAAUGGCUCACCAAGGCGACGAUCAGUAGCCGACCUGAGAGGGUGAUCGGCCACAUUGGAACUGAGACACGGUCCAAACUCCUACGGGAGGCAGCAGUGGGGAAUAUUGCACAAUGGGCGAAAGCCUGAUGCAGCAACGCCGCGUGAGCGAUGAAGGCCUUCGGGUCGUAAAGCUCUGUCCUCAAGGAAGAUAAUGACGGUACUUGAGGAGGAAGCCCCGGCUAACUACGUGCCAGCCGCCGCCGUAA